RNAcentral lists this unclassified non-coding RNA (169 nucleotides) under soil metagenome. RNAcentral's name for it is "partial internal transcribed spacer 1". The record is from RNAcentral.
CGAAAGCGUUUUUAACAGCGCAAAACCCACUGUGAACAUACCUGUUUGUUGCUUCGGCAGGCGGCCCCAGGGCGGGGCCAGCAGCCUGUAUUUUUUUUCAGGCGCCUGCCGGAGGCCACUUCAAACUCUUUUGUAUACGUACUGUCUGAGCCUAAAACAAAAUACGUUA